This 2274-nucleotide long non-coding RNA is filed under the name Monodelphis domestica (gray short-tailed opossum). RNAcentral describes it as "lncRNA (ENSMODG00000042949.1)". The record is from RNAcentral. Lineage: Eukaryota; Metazoa; Chordata; Mammalia; Didelphimorphia; Didelphidae.
AGCGCCGCAGGGCGCCUCCUCUCAUUGCUGCAAAGACCCUCCCCCUCCUCCACGACACCAACUGUUCGGAGGGCGUCCGCAGCCGUUUGAAUAGCCCGGGCGGCGGCGCUGAUUGGACUGCGGCCGCAUCACGUGACACGCCGGGCGAGCGGAGGCGGGGGAGAAGGCCACUCAGGGCUGGCUUAGCAGGAGCAGGGGCGGGGCUUUUCCGACUGCUCCCUCGGUGAAGGGAUGCGCCCUGCUAGGGCUGCGCACGCUCCGCAGGAUUCCUGAGGACCUCCGCGGCUGGUGGCCGGCCCAACCCAGAACAAGGACCCACCUACAACAUCCCUGACAGCUCCCCGCCCACCCGCCCCCCAGCCAAUGCCGUUCGUCCCAGCCCCCGGGGUUACCGUGUUUUGUAGUCUUCUCUGCAUCCAGGCUGUCCCCAAAGACUCGGUGCUCCCUGCCUGGGGUCCGCACCCCAAGGACCCCGCGGCCCUUCCGUCUGCCUUGUGCCGAACCCCCGCAAGUGAAAAGGGUCUCCCCUUUAGAGCUCCCAGCAGCAAAGACCGUGUCUGCUGGUAUACGGAGGGCUUAACCGCGGGGCUGAGAAGAAGUCAGUGUCCCAGCAAGGAACGCCCCGCUCUUCCGUGGUCCCAGCCCACGAGCCAUGAUGUAUCGCGCCCAUCAGCACACUUACACGGACAGCACUUGAAGGGUUCUCGGUAAAUAGUAUCGAUGGAAAACCCUUCGGAGACGUUCAUUCAGUACUGAGCCUCGUCGGGCUCUGUGCCGGGCGGAAUCAUUCCUAGUGGAGGAAGCCCAGUCAGGGAGAGAGCGGGGAAGGGCGCCCAGCCGGGAAGGGUCCGAGGCAGCCUUUGCUCGCUUCGCCUCCUCCCGGCUGCUUCUAGAAUCAUCUCUUCUUAAAUGACUCGUUCACCCUCCUCCAAAUGUCUGCCGCUUGGGCUGGGCGACCCUUGGGCGCACGGAAAGGGAUGAACGGGCGCCGCUGUCGCUGCUGGUCCUCAGGGUCGCCACCGUGCCCUGUCUUCACUCUCCUGAACAAACCCCCAGAGGCCUCCUGCCAAACUGACCCUGGACCGCCCGCAGGUGCUGCCGGGGUCACUGUUCUAGUGCUCCAUCUUUCCCACCCAAAGAGCUCAGAUAUUUCACUAAGAUCAUCCCAGAAUAUCUCUGAGCUAUGCAAUUCGAGAAACAUUUAUAUGCAACAUACAAGCUCCUGGACCAGAUGCUGGGGCCCCAGGGAUGACAUUCUACUCGGGAUAAAUACCAAGGACUCAUCAGCAUGGCAACCAUCUUGUCGAGAGCAUGAGUCAUAUGCUGCAAGUGUGAAAAGGGAUUUAUCUGCCAUAGUACUGUAAAGUCAGUUACAAUCUGUUCUCCGGCUCCAGCAAAUAUCGAGGCAAGAUCCCCAGAAACAUCUCGAGCUCUGAGAUCCCUGGGUUUUAACAAGAUCGGAAUGGGUUCCCAUGCAUGCUGGCUCCCACAGACUUCUCCCAAUAUUCAGACAACUAGGAUUGCCGGCUGCCCCAGUCUCAGAAGGAUACUUUUUGACAUCCAUUAACAGCUUGAUGCUAAGCAGAUUAGAGACAGACAUGGACUGCUUCUUUGUUUUGUCAUGGAGAGUCGUGGAGAGCAGAGGAGUCAGUUCCAACCUCCUUCAAAGCACAGCUCACUGCCAACUCCCUCAUGAGGCCAUUUUUGAUCCUUCUCCACCCCUGAGCUAUUAGAGCUCACUCUCUCUGGAAAUCACUUUCUUUUCAGAGACAAAGUAGAUGCCAGACUAACCCAAUCAUGGGACGGGAAUGCAAUGGACCUUUAGUGUGCAGUGAGAAAUGCCACAUGUGAGCAAUGCAGAGAUUUGAGAAGCGUAGAAAGAGUUAUCUGAACUGAACCAAAAAGGAACAAGCAGAAUCCAGUAAACAAUGCACAGAAUAACUGCAGUGAUGGCAACUGAACCAACAACACUAAACAAGUGAAAGGAAAAGGAAAUUCAGGAUUCUGCUGAUCAAUGCAGCCUCCAAAAAGAGGGAUGAGAAAACAGCAAUUCCUGCUCCUCAGCAAAGGCAGGGAACCCAUGGGGUGUGCUGCUCAGAACAUCAGAUUUUUUUUUCAAUAUGGUGGUUCACCUUGAGGAACUUUUUUUCUUCCUUUUUAUCCUAUGGGAUGACUCUCAGGGACUGGGUUAACGAAAGGAUGUAGUGGGAAAUAUGGGUGAUGUGAAAACAAAAGAUAUCAAUAAAAAGUUAUUUUAAGAAUUUAUUUAUUUCA